AGUUGCCAUCAUUAAGUUGGGCACUUUAAGGAAACUGCCGGUGAUAAGCCGGAGGAAGGUGGGGAUGACGUCAAGUCCUCAUGGCCCUUACAGGCUGGGCUACACACGUGCUACAAUGGCAUCUACAGUGGGCAGCUAUCCCGCAAGGGUGCGCUAAUCUCCAAAAGAUGUCUCAGUUCGGAUUGUCCUCUGCAACUCGAGGGCAUGAAGGCGGAAUCGCUAGUAAUCGCGAAUCAGCAUGCCGCGGUGAAUACGUUCCCAGGCCUU
RNAcentral lists this ribosomal RNA (267 nucleotides) under uncultured Porphyrobacter sp. Its description in RNAcentral is "partial 16S ribosomal RNA". It matches the Rfam family "Bacterial small subunit ribosomal RNA", at positions 1113 to 1382 of the family's 1533-position model. Lineage: Bacteria; Pseudomonadati; Pseudomonadota; Alphaproteobacteria; Sphingomonadales; Erythrobacteraceae. The record is from RNAcentral.